Molecule: transfer RNA, 478 nt
Filed under: Ralstonia solanacearum
Lineage: Bacteria; Pseudomonadati; Pseudomonadota; Betaproteobacteria; Burkholderiales; Burkholderiaceae
Description: partial 16S-23S ribosomal RNA intergenic spacer
Rfam family: tRNA (bases 61-134)
Source: RNAcentral
UAAGAGCGUGCAUCCUAGUUAGGCGUCCACACUUAUCGGUUUGUUUGAUGUUACAGCCAAGGGUCUGUAGCUCAGGUGGUUAGAGCACCGUCUUGAUAAGGCGGGGGUCGUAGGUUCAAGUCCUACCAGACCCACCAAGUUACGGGCGGCGGAGAGCGAUCUUGCCGUGAACUGGGGGAUUAGCUCAGCUGGGAGAGCACCUGCUUUGCAAGCAGGGGGUCGUCGGUUCGAUCCCGUCAUCCUCCACCAACACCUUGUGGUAGCCAAACGCAAGCAUCGAGAGAUCGGUGUUUGCGUUUGGCAUUGCCAAGACGAGUAGUAACUCGGCUGUUCUUUAACAAUAUGGAAUGUAGUAAAGGUGUCGCGGCGCGUUGAUGAGGCGCGCAAUUUAAACGCGACACUGGGUUGUGAUUGUAUCAACCAGUAUUACGAGUGAUCGAAAGACCGCUUGGAAUGCGGCACAACGCGAGAACUCAGC